UUCUUUUUAAAAAAAGUCCAGUGGUUAGGAUACUCUGGUUUCACUGGAGCAGCCAGGGUUUGAUUCCCUGUAGGGGAG
Molecule: non-coding RNA, 78 nt
Organism: Entomophthora muscae
Lineage: Eukaryota; Fungi; Entomophthoromycota; Entomophthoromycetes; Entomophthorales; Entomophthoraceae
Source: the annotation of a GenBank genome assembly